CCAUCCAGUCGGGAUUCACGAUAGAGAAACUGAAUCACAUGUUAACUACACCUAGAGGUUUAUUUCAAUUCUACUGGAUUGUUACUACAUACUGCUAGGUAUCACUGAUGGAUUAUGAGAGCUUACUAAGAUUGAUCUAGAUCGAUAAUCUUUGAUAAGUUAGAGUGAAAUUGUUUCGACCUAUUGAAAAGAGUUUCUAUGAUACUUUGAUGGAGAUCAUUAUA
This 224-nucleotide long non-coding RNA is filed under the name Elaeis guineensis (African oil palm). Its description in RNAcentral is "long non-coding RNA (EGUI_LNC053560)". The record is from RNAcentral. Lineage: Eukaryota; Viridiplantae; Streptophyta; Magnoliopsida; Arecales; Arecaceae.